This is a long non-coding RNA of Passer domesticus (house sparrow), 1180 nucleotides long. RefSeq lists it as uncharacterized. The transcript is spliced from 6 exons. The record is from RefSeq and is a predicted model, not a curated record. NCBI's taxonomy places the organism in Eukaryota, Metazoa, Chordata, Aves, Passeriformes, Passeridae.
CUCAUGCAGCCUGCUCGCUAAGUUAAAGUUAUGAGUAAGGGAAUGCCUCACCUUCCUUGGCCUCUAUGGGCUAGCAUAGUCAGUAACAACCUACCUUCAAAUUAGAGGAAGGUAAACUGAGGAGGUGCCUCAUCACCCUCACAAAGAAUUUCCUCCUGUGCUGCCAUUUUGCUAAGAAGGAAGAACCAAAAAAAUCCAUCUAAAUAGAAGGUGCCUGAGAAAGCUUAACAUGGUUCAGAAAACAGUAUUGCUUAAGCUGACUGAUGUACCAUAACACCAUUCAGAUCACUUCCUGUUAUGCAAUAAGCCUGCAGAAUUAUCAACUGGGAUUUCAUCUGGUGACUGCAGACGUGCCAUAUGGGAGGAAAACAAGUAUUUAGUAAAACAAAACCUGUGAUACAAAUGUGUAAAUUACUGACACCCUGGAGGGACGGGAUGCCAUCCAGAGGCGCUGUGAAAGGGUUGAGAGGUAGGCCUGUGAGAAACUCAUGAAGUUCAAUAAUGGCACUGCACCUGGGUCAGGGCAACCCCAACACAAUACAGGCUGGGCAGAGUGGGUUGGCAGCUGCUCUGAGAGAAGGACUUGGGAGUGUUGGUGGAUGAGAAGCUCAACAUCUCCUGGCAACGUACACUUGUAGCCCAGAAUGGUAUCCAUAUCCUGGGCUGUGCCAAAGGAUUUCUGAUCAGCAGGUCAUGGGAGGAGAUUCUUGCCUUCUGUUCUGCUGUGGUGGGACCUUACCUGGAGUGCUCCAUCCAGGCCUGCAUCCCCCACCAUAAGAGGGACAUGGAACUGUUGGCAUGAGCUCAGAGGAAGGCCAUGAAGCUGACCCAAGGGAUGAGGAACCUCUUCGGUGAGGAAAGGCUGAGAGAGGUGGGGCUGUUCAGUCUGGAGGAGUCUCAGUCACUUCUGGUGGGGAUACCUUAUAGCAAUCUUCUGGUACCUGAAGGGCACCUACAGGAAAGUUGGAGAGGGGCUUUUUCAAAGGCAGCCUUGUUCCAGUUCUUUGUGCCUUAUCGCUGAUCACUGGAUUGAAGAAACCAGCACCUCCCCAUCCGCUGCCCACCUUGAGGAAGCUGUAAACAACAUGAGACGUUUCACCAUCCUAAUGGCCCUCUUCUGGAUGCUCCCUAGUACCUUAUUUCUCAUUAGGGAGCCCAAACCUGCACACAGCAUUUGAGG